Molecule: ribosomal RNA, 467 nt
Filed under: uncultured bacterium
Lineage: Bacteria
Description: partial 16S ribosomal RNA
Rfam family: Bacterial small subunit ribosomal RNA
Source: RNAcentral
ACGAACGCUGGCGGCGUGCUUAACACCUGCAAGUCGAACGGAAAGGCCCUGCUUUUGUGGGGUGUUCGAGUGGCGAACGGGUGAGUAACACGUGAGUAACCUGCCCUUGACUUUGGGAUAACUUCAGGAAACUGGGGCUAAUACCGGAUAGGAGCUCCUGCUGCAUGGUGGGGGUUGGAAAGUUUCGGCGGUUGGGGAUGGACUCGCGGCUUAUCAGCUUGUUGGUGGGGUAGUGGCUUACCAAGGCUUUGACGGGUAGCCGGCCUGAGAGGGUGACCGGCCACAUUGGGACUGAGAUACGGCCCAGACUCCUACGGGAGGCAGCAGUGGGGAAUAUUGCACAAUGGGCGGAAGCCUGAUGCAGCAACGCCGCGUGCGGGAUGACGGCCUUCGGGUUGUAAACCGCUUUCGCCUGUGACGAAGCGUGAGUGACGGUAAUGGGUAAAGAAGCACCGGCUAACUACGUG